CACCCUUAUGAUACGAAAUGCACAUUCUUUAAUCCUAAAGGGAGUACCGACGAAAACGUUGAUAUAAUGGAUUGCAUGGAAACUUGCAUCUUCAAUCUUCACAUGGAGCAAUAUGGAUGUGCACCACGUUCAAUAAGUAUUAGUCACAUGGCGAAUUUGUGUAAAAAAGAUGAAAAAGUCCCAGAUGAAAAUCGAAAUACUUGUUUCAAAAUGUGCAACAAUACUCCUUGUGAG
Non-coding RNA from Parasteatoda tepidariorum (common house spider), 234 nucleotides. NCBI's taxonomy places the organism in Eukaryota, Metazoa, Arthropoda, Arachnida, Araneae, Theridiidae. The record is from RefSeq and is a predicted model, not a curated record.